GACGAACGCUGGCGGCGUGCCUAAUACAUGCAAGUCGAGCGGUGAAGCUUGGUGCUUGCACCAAUUUGAAGAGCAGCGCACGGGUGAGUAACGCGUGUGGAAUCUGCCUUUGAGCGGGGGACAACAUUUGGAAACGAAUGCUAAUACCGCAUAACAACUUUAAACAUAAGUUUUAAGUUUGAAAGAUGCAAUUGCAUCACUCAAACAUGAUCCCGCGUUGUAUUAGCUAGUUGGUGAGGUAAAGGCUCACCAAGGCGAUGAUACAUAGCCGAACGGAGAGGGGGAUCGGCCACCUUGGGACUGAGACACGGCCCAAAGGCCUUCGGGAGGCAGCAGGAGGGAAUCUUCGGCAAUGGACGAGAGUCUGACCGAGAAACGCCGCGGGAGUGAAGAGGGGUUUCGGAUCGUAAAACUCUGUUGGUAGAGAAGAACGUUGGUGAGAGUGGAAAGCUCAUCAAGUGACGGUAACUACUAAGAAAGGGACGGCUAACUACGUG
RNAcentral lists this ribosomal RNA (497 nucleotides) under uncultured bacterium. Its description in RNAcentral is "partial 16S ribosomal RNA". It matches the Rfam family "Bacterial small subunit ribosomal RNA", at positions 28 to 507 of the family's 1533-position model. The record is from RNAcentral.